Molecule: transfer RNA, 69 nt
Filed under: Marmota monax (woodchuck)
Lineage: Eukaryota; Metazoa; Chordata; Mammalia; Rodentia; Sciuridae
Description: tRNA.Ala
Source: RNAcentral
GGGGUUGUGGCUCAGGGGUAGAGUGCUCACCUAGCAUGCUUGAGGCACGGAGUUCGAUCCUCAGCCCCA